Molecule: ribosomal RNA, 253 nt
Filed under: uncultured bacterium
Lineage: Bacteria
Description: partial 16S ribosomal RNA
Rfam family: Bacterial small subunit ribosomal RNA
Source: RNAcentral
UACGUAGGGUGCGAGCGUUAAUCGGAAUUACUGGGCGUAAAGCGUGCGCAGGCGGUGAUGUAAGACAGAUGUGAAAUCCCCGGGCUCAACCUGGGACCUGCAUUUGUGACUGCAUCGCUGGAGUGCGGCAGGGGGGGAUGGAAUUCCGCGUGUAGCAGUGAAAUGCGUAGAUAUGCGGAGGAACACCGAUGGCGAAGGCAAUCCCCUGGGCCUGCACUGACGCUCAUGCACGAAAGCGUGGGGAGCAAACAGG